CGAAUGGGGUGAUUCAUCGUCGACGACGCUGGCUCCCGUUGGUGCGCGAUGCUCCGGAUGGAUCCUCGUGGUCCAUUAGCGAGGGCACGCCAUCUUCGGCUUGAAUGUUCCGGCAACGUAGUCGUGCACUUCUCCCCUAGUAGGACGUCGCGACCCGUUGUGUGUCGGUCUACGGCCCGAGUGGGCGCCUGUCGCGUCGCUUCUUGCGCACGUGGCAGACCCUCGGUCGCCUGGCCGGCUGCACGACGGUACUCGCACGGUAUCGGGCCGCAACCAAUCCAUUCUCGAAUGUGUGUGCGUCGGGCCCGCCGCAAGCUCGGUCAGUAUACCCGGAGGUGCGGACCUGGCGCCGUCCCCGGGCCUGACCAGCUGUUAGCAGGCGGUGUCCUCGGACUGGCCAAGCUUCGAAUUACCGGUCGGCGACGCUAUUGCUUUGGGUACUCUCAGGACCCGUCUUGAAACACGGACCAAGGAGUCUAACAUGUGCGCGAGUCAUUGGGAUGCAUAAACCUAAAGGCGAAAUGAAAGUGAAGGUCGACCUUUGCGUCGACCUAGGGAGGAUGGGCCGCGUUACGAUGCGGCCUCGCACUCACGGGGCGUUUCGUUCUCAUUGCGAGAAGAGGCGCACCUAGAGCGUACACGUUGGGACCCGAAAGAUGGUGAACUAUGCCUGGUCAGGACGAAGUCAGGGGAAACCCUGAUGGAGGUCCGUAGCGAUUCUGACGUGCAAAUCGAUCGUCGGAACUGGGUAUAGGGGCGAAAGACUAAUCGAACCAUCUAGUAGCUGGUUCCCUCCGAAGUUUCCCUCAGGAUAGCUGGCACUCGCUCGUUCCUAUUGAACGCGUGCGAGUCUCAUCUGGUAAAGCGAAUGAUUAGAGGCCUUGGGGCCGAAACGACCUCAACCUAUUCUCAAACUUUAAAUGGGUGAGAUCUCUGGCUUGCUUGAAUCUAUGAAGCCACGAGAUUUUGGAUCAGAGUGCCAAGUGGGCCAAUUUUGGUAAGCAGAACUGGCGCUGUGGGAUGAACCAAACGCAGAGUUAAGGCGCCUAAGUCGACGCUUAUGGGAUACCAUGAAAGGCG
This 1080-nucleotide ribosomal RNA is filed under the name Triepeolus tristis. Its description in RNAcentral is "partial 28S ribosomal RNA". It matches the Rfam family "Eukaryotic large subunit ribosomal RNA", at positions 589 to 1223 of the family's 3401-position model. Lineage: Eukaryota; Metazoa; Arthropoda; Insecta; Hymenoptera; Apidae. The record is from RNAcentral.